This 67-nucleotide transfer RNA is filed under the name Operophtera brumata (winter moth). It matches the Rfam family "tRNA". From Rfam's summary of the family: Transfer RNA (tRNA) molecules are approximately 80 nucleotides in length. Their secondary structure includes four short double-helical elements and three loops (D, anti-codon, and T loops). Further hydrogen bonds mediate the characteristic L-shaped molecular structure. tRNAs have two regions of fundamental functional importance: the anti-codon, which is responsible for specific mRNA codon recognition, and the 3' end, to which the tRNAs corresponding amino acid is attached (by aminoacyl-tRNA synthetases). tRNAs cope with the degeneracy of the genetic code in two manners: having more than one tRNA (with a specific anti-codon) for a particular amino acid; and 'wobble' base-pairing, i.e. permitting non-standard base-pairing at the 3rd anti-codon position. Lineage: Eukaryota; Metazoa; Arthropoda; Insecta; Lepidoptera; Geometridae. The record is from Rfam by way of RNAcentral.
UGUUCUAUGGCCGAACUGGUAAAGGCAUUGCCGAUCAAGGUUGUGGGUUCGAGUCCCGCUGGAACGG